CCUACGCGUGGCAGCAGUGGGGAAUAUUGCACAAUGGGGGAAACCCUGAUGCAGCGACGCCGCGUGAGUGAAGAAGUAAUUCGUUACGUAAAGCUCUAUCAGCAGGGAAGAAACACUGACCUUACGGUCAGCAGAAGGUACCUGAGUAAGAAGACCCGGCUAACAACGUGCAAGCAGCCGCGGUAAUACGUAGGGGGCAAGAGUUAUCCGGAUUUACUGGGGGUAAAGGGAGCGUAGACGGGGCGCCAAGUCUGGAGUGAAAUGCCGCAGCUUAACUGCGGAACUGCUUUGGAAACUGGCGAACUAGAGUGCGUGAGGGGUAAUCGGAAUUCCUAGUGUAGCGGUGAAAUGCGUAGAUAUUAGGAGGAACACCGGUGGCGAAGGCGGCUUACUGGACCGUAACUGACGUUGAGGCUCGAAAGCGUGGGGAGCAAACAGGAUUAGAUACCCCUGUAGUC
This 458-nucleotide ribosomal RNA is filed under the name uncultured bacterium. RNAcentral describes it as "partial 16S ribosomal RNA". It matches the Rfam family "Bacterial small subunit ribosomal RNA", at positions 338 to 795 of the family's 1533-position model. The record is from RNAcentral.